RNAcentral lists this ribosomal RNA (3998 nucleotides) under Triticum aestivum (bread wheat). RNAcentral describes it as "partial small subunit ribosomal RNA". The record is from RNAcentral. Lineage: Eukaryota; Viridiplantae; Streptophyta; Magnoliopsida; Poales; Poaceae.
CUGCACGACACGUCCAUGUUACUAUGUGGUGCGUAUGAAUCUCGUAGAUGUCGGGCCGCAGAGUUUGCAGACCCUCCUGUUGGGCUAGUGACUGGCCAGUUUUUUUCGGUUGGCUCAGCCCGAAGAGAACGGGGGCCCUCGGGGGGCUCUCCGACCGCCACCUCGCGGUGUUGCUGCUGGAGACGACCUCGGCACGGUGGCAGUGGAGGGCGGUAGGUGCGGCCACACUCGUUGGGUCAUCGCCAGCGGGCGCUCCUCCUCGCACCAACGCAGGAGGAGGCCAAUCUCGAGGAGGGGCACCAGCGCUAAACCUACUCCUUAUCUUAACUCGUCUGUAACCGACCCGUGCAGGUAAAGUAAACCCUCACAAGCGUGCAUCUGGUGAGGUCUCACUUGUAACCGACCCGAAAAAAAGCGCCAGAGGGAGGACCCAGCGAGCGCGCCGCCGAGGCCUCCCCUUUGGGAUCGGCGGAGCUCGCGGGGAGGAGAGGGACUAGAGACCGGCGGCCGGCGCCGCCGCCACCACCGCCGCGGGCCGGCAGUUUCCGCCGCCCGCUCCCGCGCGGGGCUGCCCUAAAGAAGCGCGCCCCCUCAGAGCAGUUAGCCCGCGCGCCACCAGCAGAGGCCACGCCGCCGCGUGCCGCCUCUCGCGCUCCUACCCGCUUCGUACCAGUUCUCCGUUUCCCUCCGCAGAAGAGCCGCGCGGCCGCACCCUCAGACUUCAACGGCGACGCUCUGGGAUCACCGCGCCUAGAGCUGGUCCUCCACGCCACCGACCCUCGCCGCCAGCCCUCAGCAACGCCUCCGGUCCCUCGCGCCACACGGAGGACACCAGCGGCUCCUCCACGCCACCGACCCUCGCCGCCAGCCCUCAGCAACGCCUCCGGUCCCUCGCGCCACACGGAGGACACCAGCGGCCGCACCAGCGCCUUCCGCCGCGGAAACUCCUCAACCGCCGCGAGCUUGGUCUAGACCCCAGAACCCGGUCACUGAGCGCCGUCCCUCGCGGUACCACCUCCACGCGACCUCAGGGCGCACUCAGGGAUCCUGCCUUAGCGCCGUCGCCGACCGACGGUCCUCGCAGUUCAGGUCGGGAACGGACGCCACGGACACCUAGAACCACCACGACCAGACCUCAACAGAAGAAGCUGGCACAUCCUCAACCUACCACCAGACGCACGAGAACCGGCACGCUCCCCAGCCACAAGGUGCUGCCAAACUAGUACUGUCGCUCCACGACGUCGACGCCGCCACGCGGGGAUGUAGCUGAUACGCCGGUUUAAGCCACCAUCCCCACCCUCUACACGCUGCCAAACCUACUUUUAGGACGAGCAGAAGCCAGCCUCGACUGCUGCUGCCGCGGGCACCCACAGCAAAGAGAGGAACCUCCGCAACAGUUCCUUUGAGCUGGGCAGCAGCCGACAAGAAGUAGUGUGUUUUCGUUCGAGCUUUGAAGAAGAUGAGCUGGGACUUUGAAGAGGCAGAUACCAUGAGAGCGGAGAGCCACAGAAUCCCUUCUGCCUGGGACUUCGUCUUCAUUUAGGGAGCUCUGUGAAGAAGACAAGCUGCUCGUGACUUAGGGAAAGACGAAGUCGGCUUGUUAUACGCAUACAAGAACGUCGAACCGGAACCAAAGCAUAACGAACGUCGUGUCAUACGUAGUCCUUAACACCAAGGAUCAAGUGUCACAGCUGCUGUCACACCUUUACAACUCUAUGGUAUGGGUAAACCAUAGCUAGGUCCGACGAGCGAGUGUGUCCCGAAGGUCGAGUCGACAUUCCAGGUUCUGCCGUAGGGUUUCGGUAAGUCCCCACGGAAACUCCACGAGCUGUAAAGAAACUGAGUUCCGUGUUGGGCCCACGACUUAAUGUAGAACCCGAUGACGAUAUUGUGGAGAUGGUCCUCGUACCUCAUAAAACCGGCCAUGCCCCCCAAGUUGCUUCCUCUGGGAAGAAGAGGGAUGGCCGAGAGGCUGUGGGUCUUGUCCAAGUGCCAGUAGCCCACGUCGCGGGAGCGGAACUAUAGACUGAUGCUACCGUGUCCAAUGGUCCCGAACCCUCAGCGUUGUACGGCGUUAAACAGUCUGAAUCACUUGCCUAGAACGAGUCCAUACCCGACGAGGGUCUGGUGUUAUGGUUUCUCCUACAUGAUGAUGCUGUGUUGAAAGAGCCGUAGCCAAUUGUGUUCAGUUUAGACCCUCAAGUUGGCGACGUCGAUACGCCAUGAUUACCUCCGUCGUCGUAAAUUCAAGUCGUGAUGCAUACAUUUGUGUUUGUUUAAGUUACUGUGUAUAUUACCUGCCCACGGAUACUAAGAACUCACCCGAUAUUCUCUACACUUCAGUACACUACGACGUUUUGUCUUAUGUUGACCAUGAAUGCGUACGGAGUCGCGGUUGUCGUUCACACACCUAAGGUGGUUACUGGUUCCCAUGUGGACGUUAACGUGGUUACCAAUACGUCCGUUGGGAAUAGAAGAUCUGCCUACGUUUCUACAAUUACUUACGUUGGUGUUAGGUACGGGAAGUCUACCGAUAACAGCGUUAUAACGACCUCUUAUGGCCACAAGAACAGCUCAACCGUUUUUUAUGCAGUGCCUUUCGUUAUGUACGUUGGGAUUGUAGCCGAAGUAUUAUCCUCAAUGUUACCCUAAUAAACCAAAUUACCAAUAGCAGUACUAGUGAUAAAAGACCCCUGUUUACUAUGAAGUUUUCUCUUUUAACUUAUUUCAAUUCGUUCUCAUAAAGGCGUUCGUACCUCCGCACGAAAACAAACUAUUCUACUUUAGCCUCUUUCCAGACCGAAAGUUACAUAAAAGUCUUCGUCUUGAGUAUGUACGGUGGCUGUUGAAACUGUCAUCGUCUUAUUAACCUUUUCCUCCGGUACCCUGACAGAUAUUUCCAUAUUAUUUCUUGUACAGCCAACGUUAAUUUUCUACACGUCAUCAACUGCUCUCUGUCUUCUUCCUUAAACCGGUCCUCUACGAGUAAAACAGGGUUUAGUUAGUGUUCUUACAACAGUUUGAGAACCCAACGACGGAACUCCACCUUCAAGGUUAAGAUCAUAUACUCAAACAGGAUUUACCAUGUGAUAAACUCGAAUAGGUACCGUUCUUGGUUCGUAGCGUUUAUAGAAAGUUGUGAGAGAAUUCCUAACGAGUACUUCGUCGACUUCCUGAGUCGAAAAACGUAAACAUACGUAGAGGGGGUUAUUAAGUACCACUACACUUUUCAAGGUUGUAGGAUGAACUACUAUUGAUGUACCGGUUUCACAGUCUGAAGCCUCGGAGGUAUGAUCGCGGUAGACUGUUUCUCGUUAAACAGUGUUACCAAGUUCCAUGAACGCCAAUGGAACUAGGGCUUAUAUACGUUUGUACGGUCAAUUGUCUGUUUUCGCUACACAUGUCAAAACCUCAAUAAGAAGAUCUCUAAGAGUGUCCGGUCGACGGUGACUUCGAGCUCCCCAGACUCUUCGUUUCUUCGAACAGUAACUAAAAGAACAGACGUUACUUCCUCUUAUUAGAUCUUCGACACAACCACUUGGUGCACUUUCCGGUUCUCUCGUACCUCAACAACUCUCCUGAACGUCUGGACCGAUUCUUUACGGAUCUGUACACACCGCUGUUGUCUGGGAGGUACUUUCUCCAGCGACUACUUGAGUUGUCUAACUCCUUUGAAAGUGACGUAGGGACCCAUGUUGAGCCGCAGCUCUGUCUUCAUCUUUUGGAAGAACCUCCUCUAUGAUGACCACCCAUACUUUAUCUUAAUUCACCAAUAGGAUACCCGCUCUCACUCUUGGUUGGGUAUUUGGGAUCUUCAAGGAUAAUACGUUCCACUCCUUUUGUACAUAACAUUAGCCAAUUUGGAUGAUUUCUAUGAAUACAAGGAAGAUAUGGAACAAUGUUACACAUUAUAGAUGCAAGGAAGACUUAGAACAAUGGUACAUAAUGUUGAAUAUUUAAUGUUUAGUGAAAAAUUAGAUAACUACACACUACACACA